RNAcentral lists this ribosomal RNA (253 nucleotides) under uncultured bacterium. RNAcentral describes it as "partial 16S ribosomal RNA". It matches the Rfam family "Bacterial small subunit ribosomal RNA", at positions 524 to 776 of the family's 1533-position model. The record is from RNAcentral.
UACGUAGGGUCCGAGCGUUGUCCGGAUUUAUUGGGCGUAAAGAGCUCGUAGGCGGUUUGUCGCGUCUGCUGUGAAAACUCGGGGCUUAACCCCGGGCCUGCAGUGGAUACGGGCUGGCUGGAGGCAGGCAGGGGAGAACGGAAUUCCUGGUGUAGCGGUGAAAUGCGCAGAUAUCAGGAGGAACACCGGUGGCGAAGGCGGCGCUCUGGACCGAGACUGACGCUGAGGCGCGAAAGCGUGGGGAGCAAACAGG